Molecule: long non-coding RNA, 225 nt
Organism: Tupaia belangeri chinensis (Chinese tree shrew)
Lineage: Eukaryota; Metazoa; Chordata; Mammalia; Scandentia; Tupaiidae
Exons: 3
Source: RefSeq, a predicted model, not a curated record
CUUCUCAAGAUGGAUCUGGUCCUCACUGAUCACCAUACUGUAAAGGGGAAGUACUUGUUAGGAUAGCGAGAGUUAAAUGGCUCCAGGCUCCUGUCAUUGUGACAAGUUGGAGGAGGGGAGACUGAACAAAGCCUGCAUUCAAGCCCCAGUCUAAGUCCUCUCCAUCGUGUCAGAGUCUGGGUGUUCCAGGACUGGGUUUUAUUACCUAAGAUGCCAGCACACACA